UACGUAGGGGGCAAGCGUUGUCCGGAAUCAUUGGGCGUAAAGCGCGUGUAGGCGGUCCGGUAAGUCCGCUGUGAAAGUCGAGGGCUCAACCCUCGAAUGCCGAUGGAUACUGUCGGGCUAGAGUGCGGAAGAGGCGAGUGGAAUUCCUGGUGUAGCGGUGAAAUGCGCAGAUAUCAGGAGGAACACCUAUUGCGAAGGCAGCUCGCUGGGACGUUACUGACGCUGAGACGCGAAAGCGUGGGGAGCAAACAGG
Molecule: ribosomal RNA, 253 nt
Filed under: uncultured bacterium
Lineage: Bacteria
Description: partial 16S ribosomal RNA
Rfam family: Bacterial small subunit ribosomal RNA
Source: RNAcentral